Molecule: ribosomal RNA, 506 nt
Filed under: Pelagopenaeus balboae
Lineage: Eukaryota; Metazoa; Arthropoda; Malacostraca; Decapoda; Penaeidae
Description: partial 12S ribosomal RNA
Rfam family: Microsporidia small subunit ribosomal RNA (bases 136-506)
Source: RNAcentral
AUAUUAAUAAAGGGUGAAAUCAAUUUUUUGAUAUGUAAUUAAACAAAAACUGAAGUUAAAGUUGAAGCUAUUAAAAUAAAGGUAUGAACCAGGAUUAGAUACCCUGCUACACUUUAUUUAAAUAAUUAUAUACCUGGGUACUAAACAGCUAACAUCUUGAAACUCAAAGGAUUUGGCGGUAAUUUAGUCUAUUUAGAGGAACCUGUCCUAUAAUCGAUAAUCCACGAAGAAUCUUACUUUAUUUUGUAGAUUACAGUUUGUAUACCGCCAUUAUCAGAUAACUUUAAGAGAAUAUUAAGUUAUUGUAAUAAUAUUGUUAGUAUAUUAGGUCAAGGUGCAGCUUAUAAUAAAGAAGAGAUGGGUUACAAUAAUAUAAAUUUAAAAUGGAAUAAUAAAAGAAUUAUUUAUUAUGAAAAUGGAUUUAAAAGUAAAAAAAUUUCAAUAAGAUUUUUUGAGUAUAGCUCUAGAUUAUGUACACAUCGCCCGUCGCUCUCGUUAAUUAAAGC